AAAUUGAAGAGUUUGAUCAUGGCUCAGAUUGAACGCUGGCGGCAGGCCUAACACAUGCAAGUCGAACGGUAACAGGAAGAAGCUUGCUUCUUUGCUGACGAGUGGCGGACGGGUGAGUAAUGUCUGGGAAACUGCCUGAUGGAGGGGGAUAACUACUGGAAACGGUAGCUAAUACCGCAUAACGUCGCAAGACCAAAGAGGGGGACCUUCGGGCCUCUUGCCAUCGGAUGUGCCCAGAUGGGAUUAGCUAGUAGGUGGGGUAACGGCUCACCUAGGCGACGAUCCCUAGCUGGUCUGAGAGGAUGACCAGCCACACUGGAACUGAGACACGGUCCAGACUCCUACGGGAGGCAGCAGUGGGGAAUAUUGCACAAUGGGCGCAAGCCUGAUGCAGCCAUGCCGCGUGUAUGAAGAAGGCCUUCGGGUUGUAAAGUACUUUCAGCGGGGAGGAAG
RNAcentral lists this ribosomal RNA (453 nucleotides) under Escherichia coli. Its description in RNAcentral is "bacterial SSU rRNA". It matches the Rfam family "Bacterial small subunit ribosomal RNA", at positions 1 to 450 of the family's 1533-position model. The record is from RNAcentral. Lineage: Bacteria; Pseudomonadati; Pseudomonadota; Gammaproteobacteria; Enterobacterales; Enterobacteriaceae.